This 736-nucleotide ribosomal RNA is filed under the name uncultured Alternaria. RNAcentral's name for it is "eukaryotic LSU rRNA". The stretch from base 234 to 387 matches the Rfam family "5.8S ribosomal RNA". Lineage: Eukaryota; Fungi; Ascomycota; Dothideomycetes; Pleosporales; Pleosporaceae. The record is from RNAcentral.
CUUGGUCAUUUAGAGGAAGUAAAAGUCGUAACAAGGUCUCCGUAGGUGAACCUGCGGAGGGAUCAUUACACAAAUAUGAAGGCGGGCUGGAACCUCUCGGGGUUACAGCCUUGCUGAAUUAUUCACCCUUGUCUUUUGCGUACUUCUUGUUUCCUUGGUGGGUUCGCCCACCACUAGGACAAACAUAAACCUUUUGUAAUUGCAAUCAGCGUCAGUAACAAAUUAAUAAUUACAACUUUCAACAACGGAUCUCUUGGUUCUGGCAUCGAUGAAGAACGCAGCGAAAUGCGAUAAGUGGUGUGAAUUGCAGAAUUCAGUGAAUCAUCGAAUCUUUGAACGCACAUUGCGCCCUUUGGUAUUCCAAAGGGCAUGCCUGUUCGAGCGUCAUUUGUACCCUCAAGCUUUGCUUGGUGUUGGGCGUCUUGUCUCUAGCUUUGCUGGAGACUCGCCUUAAAGUAAUUGGCAGCCGGCCUACUGGUUUCGGAGCGCAGCACAAGUCGCACUCUCUAUCAGCAAAGGUCUAGCAUCCAUUAAGCCUUUUUUUCAACUUUUGACCUCGGAUCAGGUAGGGAUACCCGCUGAACUUAAGCAUAUCAAUAAGCGGAGGAAAAGAAACCAACAGGGAUUGCCCUAGUAACGGCGAGUGAAGCGGUAACAGCUCAAAUUUGAAAUCUGGCUCUUUUAGAGUCCGAGUUGUAAUUUGCAGAGGGCGCUUUGGCUUUGGCAGCGGUCCAAG